UACGUAGGGGGCAAGCGUUGUCCGGAUUUAUUGGGCGUAAAGAGCGUGUAGGCGGCCUUACAGGUCAGCUGUGAAAACUCGAGGCUCAACCUCGAGACGUCGGUUGAAACCGUAAGGCUAGAGUCCGGAAGAGGAGAGUGGAAUUCCACGUGUAGCAGUGAAAUGCGCAGAUAUCAGGAGGAACACCUAUUGCGAAGGCAGCUCGCUGGGACGUUACUGACGCUGAGACGCGAAAGCGUGGGGAGCAAACAGG
RNAcentral lists this ribosomal RNA (253 nucleotides) under uncultured bacterium. RNAcentral describes it as "partial 16S ribosomal RNA". It matches the Rfam family "Bacterial small subunit ribosomal RNA", at positions 524 to 776 of the family's 1533-position model. The record is from RNAcentral.